GUUUGGCUGUUCGCCAAUUAAAGCGGUACGUGAGCUGGGUUUAGAACGUCGUGAGACAGUUCGGUCCCUAUCUUUCGUGGGCGUAGGAUAUUUGAGAGGAUCUUCCCCUAGUACGAGAGGACCGGGGUGGACAAACCUCUAGUGUACCAGUUGUCGCGCCAGCGGCAUAGCUGGGUAGCUACGUUUGGAAUGGAUAACCGCUGAAAGCAUCUAAGCGGGAAGCCAACCUCGAGAUAAGAUAUCCCUUCCCGAUGGAGACAUCGGGACUAAAGACCCCUUGGAGACUACAAGGUUGAUAGGCCAGGUGUGUAAGUACGGUAACGUAUUUAGCUAACUGGUACUAAUAGGUCGUGAGGCUUGGCCAUAAACUU
This 371-nucleotide ribosomal RNA is filed under the name Desulfobacteraceae bacterium 4484_190.2. RNAcentral describes it as "bacterial LSU rRNA". It matches the Rfam family "Bacterial large subunit ribosomal RNA", at positions 2571 to 2925 of the family's 2925-position model. The record is from RNAcentral. Lineage: Bacteria; Pseudomonadati; Thermodesulfobacteriota; Desulfobacteria; Desulfobacterales; Desulfobacteraceae.